This 317-nucleotide unclassified non-coding RNA is filed under the name Hevea brasiliensis (rubber tree). The record is from RNAcentral. Lineage: Eukaryota; Viridiplantae; Streptophyta; Magnoliopsida; Malpighiales; Euphorbiaceae.
GAAAAAUUGAGAGAGUUUGUUUUCUCGAAUCAAAGUUUAAAAAUUUUUAAGUUGCAAAUUGAAGUUGAGGAUGGUAAUAUAAUAAAUAUUUAAGUUGAGGGAUAAUGUGUGAAAUUUAUUUAAAUUUAAGAGAUUUUCAACAUCAACUAAUAUUUAGAAAUGAUAUUAGUACAACACUCUAAAUUAUGGUGGGUUAUUUUAUAGCUUAUUAUAUUUUGAUGGGUAACAUUUUUUUUAUUUACUUACAUAAAUAAAAAUUAUAAUAUAAGUUAUAAAUAUCCAAUACAUGGAUUUUCCCAGCAAAUUUGCCACCUUCA